RNAcentral lists this long non-coding RNA (235 nucleotides) under Ornithorhynchus anatinus (platypus). RNAcentral describes it as "lncRNA (ENSOANG00000044316.1)". Lineage: Eukaryota; Metazoa; Chordata; Mammalia; Monotremata; Ornithorhynchidae. The record is from RNAcentral.
CAGUGCCCUUUAAUCACUGACCCCAUGUGAGUCCUGUCCACAUGAUCACACCCACGUGGGAUUGUGGAGAGACGGCACCAGUGGAGCUGGGGCAGAGAGGGACUCUGCUCUCUGGAGGUCCUUUCUCGAAAGCUCUCAUGCAGCAAGCCAUUUUUUCUGAGGUUGUCAUUUACUGCUCCGCCUAACUGCUACGGUAGUGCGGAGCCGACCUAAUGAUGCAGCAAUUAAAAGCGAU